RNAcentral lists this non-coding RNA (29 nucleotides) under Cricetulus griseus (Chinese hamster). The record is from RNAcentral. Lineage: Eukaryota; Metazoa; Chordata; Mammalia; Rodentia; Cricetidae.
UUGUCGGGUUAAUGGAGGAGAGCUCCAGG